RNAcentral lists this long non-coding RNA (506 nucleotides) under Manacus vitellinus (golden-collared manakin). RNAcentral describes it as "lncRNA (ENSMVIG00005017980.1)". Lineage: Eukaryota; Metazoa; Chordata; Aves; Passeriformes; Pipridae. The record is from RNAcentral.
GCUUUCAAAUAUCACUGUUGCUAAGGGAAAAAUCACUACUGUUUCCUCCUCAGCUUUCUCUUUGCUGCUCUCCCCCUUGUCAGUGAGGAUUAGGCUUGACUGCAGCUGAUUUUGCUGUCUCACUCCCUGCAAUGGGGUGCCAAGCAUUCCACAGUGACACAGCAGCUUUUCCCCUGUCCCUCCAUUUCCCUUGGCUGCUCCAACUCCCCCAAAGCCACGGGGCUGCAGAUUUUCAGCGAUGCAGAAUACAAAUAACUGCAGCCUUCAGCGCCUUUGAAGGAGAUGGCCUUGCUGCUCUUCUAUUGCUCUUUUACGGACUGCCUUGACAGAUGAAAGUUAUCUCUACCAAUGAAACAAUCUUGGGGCGCAGUAUCCUUGUGCUGGGUGACCCCAUCAUUGAUGUUCCAGGUGCAAUGAAAACAGACUUUUGGGCACACUUCUUGUGGUUUUGGGCAUCUCUCUCCUCCAGCUUUCCCAAGGUGUGCAAGGUUUAAAGGUAAGGUGGU